ACGGAAGGCAGCAGUGGGGAAUAUUGCACAAUGGGCGAAAGCCUGAUGCAGCGACGCCGCGUGAGUGAAGAAGUAUCUCGGUAUGUAAAGCUCUAUCAGCAGGGAAGAAAAUGACGGUACCUGACUAAGAAGCCCCGGCUAACUACGUGCCAGCAGCCGCGGUAAUACGUAGGGGGCAAGCGUUAUCCGGAUUUACUGGGUGUAAAGGGAGCGUAGACGGUUUGGCAAGUCUGAGGUGAAAUGCGGGGGCUCAACUCCUGAACUGCUUUGGAAACUGUCGAACUAGAGUGCAGGAGAGGUAAGUGGAAUUCCUAGUGUAGCGGUGAAAUGCGUAGAUAUUAGGAGGAACACCAGUGGCGAAGGCGGCUUACUGGACUGUAACUGACGUUGAGGCUCGAAAGCGUGGGGAGCAAACAGGAUUAGAUACCCUGGUA
Molecule: ribosomal RNA, 434 nt
Filed under: uncultured Lachnospiraceae bacterium
Lineage: Bacteria; Bacillati; Bacillota; Clostridia; Lachnospirales; Lachnospiraceae
Description: partial 16S ribosomal RNA
Rfam family: Bacterial small subunit ribosomal RNA
Source: RNAcentral